Molecule: ribosomal RNA, 421 nt
Filed under: uncultured bacterium
Lineage: Bacteria
Description: bacterial SSU rRNA
Rfam family: Bacterial small subunit ribosomal RNA
Source: RNAcentral
AACGAACGCUGGCGGCAUGCCUAACACAUGCAAGUCGAACGAGACCUUCGGGUCUAGUGGCGCACGGGUGCGUAACGCGUGGGAAUCUGCCCUUAGGUACGGAAUAACUCAGAGAAAUUUGUGCUAAUACCGUAUGAUGUCGAAAGACCAAAGAUUUAUCGCCUAAGGAUGAGCCCGCGUAAGAUUAGCUUGUUGGUGAGGUAAAAGCUCACCAAGGCGACGAUCAGUAGCUGGUCUGAGAGGACGAUCAGCCACACUGGGACUGAGACACGGCCCAGACUCCUACGGGAGGCAGCAGUGGGGAAUUUUGGACAAUGGGGGCAAGCCUGAUGCAGCAACGCCGCGUGAGGGACGACGGCCUUCGGGUUGGUAAACCUCUUUCAGUAGGGUAGGAAGGGUUGGAUGUCUAAUACGCAUCAAC